RNAcentral lists this long non-coding RNA (2113 nucleotides) under Homo sapiens (human). RNAcentral's name for it is "HSALNT0136250". Lineage: Eukaryota; Metazoa; Chordata; Mammalia; Primates; Hominidae. The record is from RNAcentral.
CUUACCAGGUUAGAAACACUGUUUUGUAGAAUCUGCAAAAGGACGUUUUUGAUCACAUUGAGGCCCAUGGUGAAAAACCGAAUAUCUCCAGAGAAAAAGUAGAAAAAAGUUAUCUGUGAAACCGCUUUGUGCUGUGUGGAUUCAGCUUACAGAUUUAACCCUUUCAUCUGAUUCAGCAGAAUCUGUGACUGGACAUUGGGGAGCUCAUUGAGGUGAAUGGUGCAAAACUGAAUAUCCCUAGAUAAAAACUGGAAAAAAUCUCUUUGAAACUGCUUCAUGAUGUGUGGAUUCUUCUCAUGGUGCAGGUUGAAAACACCAUUUUGUAAAAUCUACAAAGAGACAUUUGGGAGACCAUUGAGGCAUAUGGUGAAAAACGGAGAAUCCCAAGAUAAAAACAAGAAAGAAGCUAUCUGUGAAACUCCUUUGUGACGUGUAGAUCCAUCUCACAGAGUGAAACUUUUCUUUUCAUUCAGCAGGUUGGAAACAUUCUCUUUGUAGAAUCUGCAAAGGAACAAUUGGGAGUCUAUUGAGGCCCAUGUUGGCAAACUGAUUAUUCCCAGAUAAAAACUAGAGAGAAGAUAUUCAUGUAACUGCUUUGUUAUGUGUGCAUUCAUCUAACAGAGAUAAAACUUUCUUUUGAUUCAUCAGGUUGGAAACACUCUUGCUUUAGAGUCUUGAAAGGAAUAUUUGGGAGUCCCUUGAGUGCUAUGGUGAAAAACCAAAUAUUCCCAGAUAAAAACUAGAAAGAAGCUAUCUGUGAAACUGCUUUGUGUUGUGUGGAUUCAUCUCACACAGUUAAACCUUUCUUUUGAUUCAGCAAGUUGGAAAGCUUCCUUUUGGAGGAUCUGGGAAUGGAGAUUUUGGAGCCCAUUGAGGCCUACGGUGAAAAACCGAAUAUCCCCAGAUAUAAACUAGAAAGAAAUUUUCCAUGAAACUGCUUUGUGAUUACUGUGAAAAAGCUUUGUGACAUGUGGAUUCAUCUCACAGAGUUACACAUUUAUUUUGGUUCAGCUGGUUGGAAACACUCUUUUUGUAAAACCUGAAAAGAGACAUUUGGGAGCACAUGGAGGACUAUGGUGAAAAAUUGAAUAACCUCAGGAAAAAAAAAACAAGAAACUAUCUGUGAAACUGCUUUGUGAUAUGCGGAUUCAUCUCACAAAGUUAAAUCUUUGUUAUAACUCUGCAAGUUAUAAACACUCUUUUUGUAGAACUUGUGAAAGUACAUUUGGGAGCCCUUCAAGGACUAUGGUGAAAAACAGAAUAUCCCCAGAUAAAACGAAAAAGAAACUAUCUGUGAAACUAUUUUGGGAUGAGUUAAGUCAUCUUACAAAGUGCAACCUUUCUUUUAAUUCAGCAGGUCGAAGACAGUCUUUUUGUAGAAUCUGUGAAGGCAUAUUUGAAAGCCCAUUGAGGCCUAUGGUGAAAAACCGAAUAUCCUCAGAUACAAACUAGAAAGAAGCUAUCUGUGAAACUUCUUUGUGAUAUGUGGAUUCAUCUCACAGAGUUACACCAUUCAGCAUGUUUGCUAACACUUUUUUUGUAGAAUAUUCAAAGGGACAUUUGAGAGCCCUUUGAGGCCUAUGUUAAAAAAAGAAUAACCCCAGAUAAAAACUAGAAAUAAACUAUGAAACUGCUUUGGGUUGUGUGGAUUCAUCUCACAGAAAUAAACCUUUCAUUUGAUUCAUCUACUUGGAAACACUUUUUCCGUAGAAUCUGUGAAGAGGCAUUUAAAAGCCUAUUGUGGAGUAUGGUGAAAAAUCAAAUAUCUUCUAAUAAAAACUAAAAACAUGCUAUCUAUGAAACUGCUUGUGAAGAGUGAAUUCAUCUCACAGAUUUAAAAAUUUCUUUUGAUUCAGCAGGUUGGAAACACUCUUUUUGAAGAAUCUGCCGAGGGAUAUUUGGGAGCCCCUUCAGGCCUAUGGCAAAAAACUGAAUAUCCCCAGAUAAAAAUUCAAAAGAAGUUAUCUGUGAAACUGCUUUGCAAUGUGUGAAUUUGUCUCACAUGGUUAAACUUUUCUUUUGAUUCAACAGGUUGGAAACACUUUUUGUAGAAUCUAGGAAGAGACUUACGGGAGCCCAAGGAGGCCUAUGGUGAAAAAAUGAAUAUCCUCAG